UUUGGAGGGCAAGUCUGGUGCCAGCAGCCGCGGUAAUUCCAGCUCCAAUAGCGUAUAUUAAAGUUGUUGCAGUCAAAAAGCUCGUAGUUGAAUUUCGGGGUCAGUUGGCUGGUCGUGCCACCGGUACGUACUGGUCUCACUGAUUCCUCCUUCCUGAAGAACCGUAAUGCCAUUAAUUUGGUGUUGCGGGGAAACAGGACUGUUACUUUGAAAAAAUUAGAGUGUUUAAAGCAAGCUAACGCUUGAAUACAUUAGCAUGGAAUAAUGAAAUAGGACGAUCGAUCCUAUUUUGUUGGUUUCUAGGAUUGACGUAAUGAUUAAUAGGGAUAGUUGGGGGCAUUAGUAUUCAAUUGUCAGAGGUGAAAUUCUUGGAUUUAUUGAAGACUAACUACUGCGAAAGCAUUUGCCAAGGAUGUUUUCAUUAAUCAAGAACGAAAGUUAGGGGAUCGAAGACGAUCAGAUACCGUCGUAGUCUUAACCAUAAAUUAUGCCGACUAGGGAUCGGAUGAUGUUAAUUUUAUAAUGACUCAUUCGGCGCCUUACGGGAAAC
This 550-nucleotide ribosomal RNA is filed under the name uncultured Glomus. RNAcentral's name for it is "SSU rRNA". It matches the Rfam family "Eukaryotic small subunit ribosomal RNA", at positions 547 to 1098 of the family's 1831-position model. Lineage: Eukaryota; Fungi; Glomeromycota; Glomeromycetes; Glomerales; Glomeraceae. The record is from RNAcentral.